AACUUUACCCCUCGGGAAACCGUGAUAAGGGGACACCGAGUGCCAGCAUCAUAUGCUGGCUGUCCGGGUGUGUAAAAUACACCCGUUAGCAAGGGCCGGGCAAGACCGGUGCCAGCCGCCGCGGUAGCACCGGCGGCCCGAGUGGUGAUCGUGAUUAUUGGGUCUAAAGGGUCCGUAGCCGGUUUGGUCAGUCCUCCGGGAAAUCUGACGGCUUAACCGUUAGGCUUUCGGGGGAUACUGCCAGGCUUGGAACCGGGAGAGGUAAGAGGUACUACAGGGGUAGGAGUGAAAUCUUGUAAUCCCUGUGAGACCACCUGUGGCGAAGGCGUCUUACCAGAACGGGUUCGACGGUGAGGGACGAAAGCUGGGGGCACGAACCGGAUUAGAUACCCGGGUAGUCCCAGCCGUAAACGAUGCUCGCUAGGUGUCAGGCAUGGCGCGACCGUGUCUGGUGCCGCAGGGAAGCCGUGAAGCGAGCCACCUGGGAAGUACGGCCGCAAGGCUGAAACUUAAAGGAAUUGGCGGGGGAGCAC
RNAcentral lists this ribosomal RNA (533 nucleotides) under uncultured archaeon. RNAcentral's name for it is "bacterial SSU rRNA". It matches the Rfam family "Archaeal small subunit ribosomal RNA", at positions 346 to 879 of the family's 1478-position model. The record is from RNAcentral.